AUCAAAUACUAUUUAAAAAUCUAAAAUUGAUCUCAGAUCCUAUCCAAUCUGAUAACUAAACCCGACUCGCAUAGUUUGGAAUUCCUCUCUCCUUCCUCGACAUAAACAAGGGAGAAGUAAUAUCCUCUGAGGGUCGAUUCUAAAGCCAAUAUAGCCAUCCCUGUCGGCUGGUGGGACUUGCCAGAGACUCAAACACUAGAUGGGUGUUCUUGUCUUUUGUGUUGUGAAACGAUGAUAAGGAUG
Molecule: long non-coding RNA, 243 nt
Filed under: Elaeis guineensis (African oil palm)
Lineage: Eukaryota; Viridiplantae; Streptophyta; Magnoliopsida; Arecales; Arecaceae
Description: long non-coding RNA (EGUI_LNC015944)
Source: RNAcentral